UUAACUUCACUCAGGAGCAGCAAUUUUUUAUAUAAUAAAGAAAAUACUGACGAUUUAAUUUUUAAAGGUGAAAAAUAUCAACAUCUUUCUGGAUCGUAUGGAAAUAAUAGAGGACCUUACGAAGAUAGUAACAACGAUGAACCUGAUGAAUGGCUCAACGAGGACAAAGAAUCUACUGUAGAUAAAAAGCUUCUUGAAUAACAGUCUAAAGCUGAAGGAACACGCAAUACUGAAAAUAAAGAUUCUCAUUUACAAGAUGACUUCAUGGACUAUGACCAUAUUUCAUCGAACCCAAACACUUACUUAAGACGAGAAGAGAGGACCUCGAAGCAAAUUCAUAAUCAGUGCCCUCCAGAAUGUAAUUUUUGUGCAUCUGUCGCAGUACGUGAAUUGAAGAACGUCCUCACAAUUCUUCAAGAUAAACUUA
Belonocnema kinseyi is the source of this 427-nucleotide long non-coding RNA. RefSeq lists it as uncharacterized. NCBI's taxonomy places the organism in Eukaryota, Metazoa, Arthropoda, Insecta, Hymenoptera, Cynipidae. The transcript has 3 exons. The record is from RefSeq and is a predicted model, not a curated record.